UCAGGUGCCGCAGGAGGUAGCCCAAGGCUGGUGUAAAGAGAAGGACAUUCCCUAUUUUGAAGUCAGUGCCAAGAAUGACAUCAAUGUGGUACAGGCCUUUGAGAUGCUGGCCGGUCGGGCUCUGUCGAGGUAUCGAAGCAUCUUAGAGAGUUACUUCACAGACUCCAUCAAGCUCUCACCAGAAGACCAGUCCAAGAGCAGAUGCUGUUGACCUUGCAGACUCCGGCUCUGCAUGCCCAGAGGCAGAGCACGCCUAGGGCCUGGUUGUCCCAGGCCCCCACCAGCCUCAUCCCCUGCCCAUGCUCAGCCCAGCAGUCUAGGCUCUGUGGCCAGGGCCCUGAACCCCCUUGCACCUGCCCUGGAUCCAGAACCAGAGGGCAGCCCCGCCUCAGGCUGAGCGUAGUAAGGACAGGACCGGGCCCUUGAGUCCAGAAGAAACUUAGAAUGUCACCGCCAUGUCCUGGGGAGUCACAGUUCUCUUGCUGCCGCCAGCCUUCUUGCCACCCACCCUCCCCAAACACACCCCUGCCUCUAGGAUGCCCAUCUCUGCAGACAGGAUGCUGUCUGUCAUAUUCCUCUAUGGACUGGCCGUUCUCGCCCCAUCCACCACCACCUCCCAUCAGAGCCACAGCACAGCUUUGGACAAAGAUGUAGCUCAGCCUCUCUUGUAGCCGAGGCCAGGGAGUGAGGGUCUACUUCAACCUCUGGCGCAGCUGUUCAGGCCUGGCCCCCCACCCCCCCACCCCGUCUCCCCCCCACUUCAGAGUGCAGGACAGAGGGAGCCCAGGAAUAUCCUCCAGAGACUGGCGUGUUUCUCCCUGCUGUGCUCAGGCAACUCCUGUAUCUCUCUCAGAGCCUCAGUUUAUUCAUCUGUCAAAUGGGGAUGGCGCAUGUUCUGCCUGCCUCGGUGUGGUUUUCAGGACCGGAAGCUCUGCUUAAGUCUCAGUUGCUCUUGUUGAGAUACAUUUACUAUUCUUUCAACAAGUAUUUUUGCGUAUCUACUAUGUAUGAUGCACUGAGGUCCAGUGGCAAAUGUAACAGGGACCUUGCUCUCCUGGACCUGACAUUCUGGUGAAGGAGAGAGGAAAUAAACACUGAAUUUAAACAGACAUUUAUUUUCAUAUAGCAGGUAAGUGCUUGAACAACGUGAAAUAAGGUGAUAGAGAGUGACAGAGGGUGGGGUUGGGUGUUGUUUCAGACCAAAGCGUCCAGGAGGGCUUCCCUGGGGAGUUGGCGUUAGUCCAAAGGCUAGAGAAUGAGCAAGGGGCUGACCCCUGAACUGGACAGAGAACACGUGAGGAGAGUUAGCAGAAAAGGCCAAGACCCCAGGGUCAGGAAAAGAUUGCUGUGUUCCAGGCACAGUAAAAAGACAUUAAUUUAUCUGGAUUCCAGGGGGCUGUCCCGGAGACUAGCAAAAGGGCCUCGCGCCCUUGGUUGACGCCUUGCGUCUCUACCGAUUGGCCACCAGAGGGCAGCAGGGCUCCUUCCGUUCCAGCGAGCAGCCAACCAACGCUCCGUGGACACUUGAAGAGUGGCUGUUUUCUGUGCUGGUGCUCAAAGUUGGUUCUUGGGCUCUGGACAUUUUCAGCCCUUGGAGAUUUGUGGAGCAGGGAAAAUCCCAAUUUCUUUCUUUCUUUUUUUUUCUUUAUAGGGCCACACCCGCAGCAUAUGUAGGUUUCCAGGGUAGGGGUCUCAUGGGAGCUAUGGUUGCCGGCCACAACCACAGCCACAGCCACAGCAACGCAGGAUCCGAGCCGCGUCGGCGACCUACACCACAGCUCAUGGCAACACCGCAUCCUUAACCCACUGCGCAAGGCCAGGGAUCAAACCAGCAACUUCAUGGUUCCUAGUCGGAUUCGUUUCUGCUGCACCACGACGGGAACUCCAAGGAAAAUCCUAAUUUCUUAAGCCUCCUGAGAGAUGGGUAAAAACUGCAGCAUCAAUGAUUCAGGCAAGAAAUCUGCAUCCCCGGCAAAUUUAGAAGAGAGACCUGGAAAUCUCAUGGAUUUGUGUUCCUGCAGACUCUACAGCCAUAAUCUACUUUUUCUUCCUUGGCAGACAGCACUGACAGGGUCCUGCCUAGAGGGAGUAGGCAUAUGCUGACCCACCAGGACCUCCAGCGGUCACAUCCAUGCCCACCACAGAAGUCUCCUCUCUAGGGAGUGCUGUUGUGGCUCAGCAGGUUAAGAACACGACAUAGUGUUUGUGAGGGUGCAGGUUCAAUCCCUAGUCUCUCUCAGUGGUUAAGGAUCCGGUGUUGCCACAUGCUGCGGCAUAGUUUGAAGAUGCGGCUUGGAUCUGAUGUUGCUAUGGCUGUGGUGUAGGUCGGCAGCUGCAGCUCUGAUCUGACCUCCAGCCAGGGACCUUCCAUAUGCCACAAAGGUGGCCCUGGGAAAAAAAAAGUCUCCUGUCUGCUCGGGAGUAUCCUUCCCUGAGCUCCAAGCAGAGCUGGGGAUGUUGGCCUAUGACUUUCAAGUGUUGUCUGACUCUGAAGAUACCCCGGGAGGUAGGGGAUGGGGAGGUGGGGGUCAGUAAGAGAGUUUGGGGAGCCCCUUCCCCCCCAGCCAGCUGUGAAGUAAGAACUCAUCAUGGGCAGCAGCAUGGACCAGGCAUGGGAGCAGGUGGCCAGGAGCACACCUGUCUCUGUCCUUCUUGGGGGUGGCACUACAUGUCACCAGACUCACCUGGGAGUCAGUCGGACUAUGGAUUGGCCAUGUGGGGUGUGUGCUGCAGCUUGUGUACCACAGUGGACAUAAGGGCCCUUCUAAAUGUGCACAACAAAUAAUAAAUGUCUGUGUUUGUUUUGAU
Molecule: long non-coding RNA, 2808 nt
Filed under: Sus scrofa (pig)
Lineage: Eukaryota; Metazoa; Chordata; Mammalia; Artiodactyla; Suidae
Description: lncRNA (ENSSSCG00030016736.1)
Source: RNAcentral